RNAcentral lists this ribosomal RNA (253 nucleotides) under uncultured bacterium. RNAcentral describes it as "partial 16S ribosomal RNA". It matches the Rfam family "Bacterial small subunit ribosomal RNA", at positions 524 to 776 of the family's 1533-position model. The record is from RNAcentral.
GACGAACCGUGCAAACGUUAUUCGGAAUCACUGGGCUUAUAGCGUGCGUAGGCGGCUCAGUAAGUUGGGUGUGAAAUCCCUCGGCUUAACCGAGGAAUUGCGCCCAAAACUACUGGGCUUGAGGGAGUUAGAGGUGAGCGGAACUCACGGUGGAGCGGUGAAAUGCGUUGAUAUCGUGAGGAACACCGGAGGCGAAGGCGGCUCACUGGGGCUUAUCUGACGCUGAGGCACGGAAGCUAGGGGAGCAAACGGG